UUCCUACGGGAGGCAGCAGUGGGGAAUAUUGGGCAAUGGGCGCAAGCCUGACCCAGCAACGCCGCGUGAAGGAAUAAGGCCCUACGGGUCGUAAACCUCUUUUGCCGGGGAGCAAGGGCCGGGACGCGUCCCGGCCCGGAGAGUACCCGGAGAAAAAGCAUCGGCUAACUCCGUGCCAGCAGCCGCGGUAAUACGGAGGAUGCGAGCGUUAUCCGGAUUUAUUGGGUUUAAAGGGUGCGUAGGCGGGCUUUUAAGUCAGCGGUAAAAAUUCGGGGCUCAACCCCGUCCGGCCGUUGAAACUGGGG
Molecule: ribosomal RNA, 305 nt
Filed under: uncultured bacterium
Lineage: Bacteria
Description: bacterial SSU rRNA
Rfam family: Bacterial small subunit ribosomal RNA
Source: RNAcentral